GACGAACGCUGGCGGCGUGCCUAAUACAUGCAAGUAGAACGCUGAAGGAGGAGCUUGCUUCUCUGGAUGAGUUGCGAACGGGUGAGUAACGCGUAGGUAACCUGCCUGGUAGCGGGGGAUAACUAUUGGAAACGAUAGCUAAUACCGCAUAACAGUAGAUAUCGCAUGAUAGCUGCUUAAAAGGUGCAAUUGCACCACUACCAGAUGGACCUGCGUUGUAUUAGCUAGUUGGUGAGGUAACGGCUCACCAAGGCAACGAUACAUAGCCGACCUGAGAGGGUGAUCGGCCACACUGGGACUGAGACACGGCCCAGACUCCUACGGGAGGCAGCAGUAGGGAAUCUUCGGCAAUGGACGAAAGUCUGACCGAGCAACGCCGCGUGAGUGAAGAAGGUUUUCGGAUCGUAAAGCUCUGUUGUAAGAGAAGAACGAGUGUGAGAGUGGAAAGUUCACACUGUGACGGUAUCUUACCAGAAAGGGACGGCUAACUACGUGCCAGCAGCCGCGGUAAUACGUAGGUCCCGAGCGUUGUCCGGAUUUAUUGGGCGUAAAGCGAGCGCAGGCGGUUAGAUAAGUCUGAAGUUAAAGGCUGUGGCUUAACCAUAGUACGCUUUGGAAACUGUUUAACUUGAGUGCAAGAGGGGAGAGUGGAAUUCCAUGUGUAGCGGUGAAAUGCGUAGAUAUAUGGAGGAACACCGGUGGCGAAAGCGGCUCUCUGGCUUGUAACUGACGCUGAGGCUCGAAAGCGUGGGGAGCAAACAGG
Molecule: ribosomal RNA, 763 nt
Filed under: uncultured Streptococcus sp.
Lineage: Bacteria; Bacillati; Bacillota; Bacilli; Lactobacillales; Streptococcaceae
Description: bacterial SSU rRNA
Rfam family: Bacterial small subunit ribosomal RNA
Source: RNAcentral